UACAGAGGGUGCAAGCGUUAAUCGGAAUUACUGGGCGUAAAGCGCGCGUAGGUGGUUUGUUAAGUUGGAUGUGAAAUCCCCGGGCUCAACCUGGGAACUGCAUUCAAAACUGACAAGCUAGAGUAUGGUAGGGGGUGGUGGAAUUUCCUGUGUAGCGGUGAAAUGCGUAGAUAUAGGAAGGAACACCAGUGGCGAAGGCGACCACCUGGACUGAUACUGACACUGAGGUGCGAAAGCGUGGGGAGCAAACAGG
Molecule: ribosomal RNA, 253 nt
Filed under: uncultured bacterium
Lineage: Bacteria
Description: partial 16S ribosomal RNA
Rfam family: Bacterial small subunit ribosomal RNA
Source: RNAcentral